GAUGAACGCUGGCGGCGUGCCUAACACAUGCAAGUCGAGCGGACCAAUGCCCAUUUCAGCUUUGCUGAUUUGAGCAACGGUUAGCGGCGGACGGGUGAGUAACGCGUGGGCAACCUGCCCUGUGCAGGGGGAUAACACAGCGAAAGCUGUGCUAAUACCCCAUAAGACUACGCUAUCGCAUGAUAGAGUAGUCAAAGCUUUAGCGGCACAGGAUGGGCCCGCGUCUGAUUAGCUAGUUGGUGGGGUAACGGCCUACCAAGGCGACGAUCAGUAGCCGACCUGAGAGGGUGAUCGGCCACACUGGAACUGAGACACGGUCCAGACUCCUACGGGAGGCAGCAGUGGGGAAUAUUGCACAAUGGGGGAAACCCUGAUGCAGCAACGCCGCGUGAGCGAAGAAGGCCUUCGGGUCGUAAGGCUCUGUCCUAAGGGAAGAAGCAUGACGGUACCUUAGGAGGAAGCCCCGGCUAACUACGUGCCAGCAGCCGCGGUAAUACGUAGGGGGCGAGCGUUAUCCGGAAUCACUGGGCGUAAAGGGUGCGUAGGCGGCCGAGUAAGCCAGGGGUGAAAGGCUACGGCUUAACCGUAGUAAGCCUUUGGAACUACUUGGCUUGAGUGCAGGAGAGGAGAGUGGAAUUCCUAGUGUAGCGGUGAAAUGCGUAGAUAUUAGGAGGAACACCAGUGGCGAAGGCGACUCUCUGGACUGUAACUGACGCUGAGGCACGAAAGCGUGGGGAGCAAACAGGAUUAGAUACCCUGGUAGUCCACGCCGUAAACGAUGAGUGCUAGGUGUCGGGGGUUCACACCCUCGGUGCCGGAGUUAACGCAAUAAGCACUCCGCCUGGGGAGU
Molecule: ribosomal RNA, 850 nt
Filed under: uncultured bacterium
Lineage: Bacteria
Description: bacterial SSU rRNA
Rfam family: Bacterial small subunit ribosomal RNA
Source: RNAcentral